This is a small nuclear RNA of 109 nucleotides. Its record names the gene U2. It matches the Rfam family "U2 spliceosomal RNA". Rfam says of the family: U2 is a small nuclear RNA (snRNA) component of the spliceosome (involved in pre-mRNA splicing). The record is from Ensembl.
AUUGCUUCUCAGCCUUUUGGCUAAGAUCAAGUGUAGUAUUUGUUCUUAUCAGUUGAAAAGUAAACUGGUAGUUUGUGAAAAGGCAGCAGCAGUUCAUUAAACAACAAAA